AUUAAUAGAACGCUGGCGGCGUGCUUUACACAUGCAAGUCGAGGGGGCGUAGCAAUACGUCAGCGGCAGACGGGUGAGUAACGCGUGGGAACAUACCUUUUGGUUCGGAACAACACAGGGAAACUUGUGCUAAUACCGGACAAGCCCUUACGGGGAAAGAUUUAUCGCCGAAAGAUUGGCCCGCGUCUGAUUAGCUAGUUGGUGAGGUAACGGCUCACCAAGGCGACGAUCAGUAGCUGGUCUGAGAGGAUGAUCAGCCACAUUGGGACUGAGACACGGCCCAAACUCCUACGGGAGGCAGCAGUGGGGAAUAUUGGACAAUGGGCGCAAGCCUGAUCCAGCCAUGCCGCGUGAGUGAUGAAGGCCCUAGGGUUGUAAAGCUCUUUUGUGCGGGAAGAUAAUGACGGUACCGCAAGAAUAAGCCCCGGCUAACUUCGUGC
Molecule: ribosomal RNA, 440 nt
Filed under: uncultured bacterium
Lineage: Bacteria
Description: bacterial SSU rRNA
Rfam family: Bacterial small subunit ribosomal RNA
Source: RNAcentral